UUCAGGAUUUCAAAAUUGUUACUCCCUAUGAUCUAUAUUACUAGUCCGUCAAACGGAUGUAUCUUGCAUUAAAAUACGUCUAUAUACAUCCAUUUGAGCGACAAGUAAUAUAGAUGGAAGGAGAAACAUUUUUCUAGACGGAUGUAUCCUACUAUUGUGAAAGAAAGAUUUUCUAAGUGUAUCUUACUCUAAAAAAAAGAUAAGUGUAUCAUUCUUCUUCCAUUGUUACCAUAGUGUGGUUUUCAUGUUUUUUAUAAAGUAUAAUUCGAUUGACUACUUGAUCUUUAAAUUUCGAUACCAUGAAUUUUGUCCAUGACAGCGGUCAAUCAUGGUCUAGUUUUGUGCAAAUACAUACUAGUUUUUGUUGUAUUUCCGUUAUACAUUUGCACGGUGUCGUCCUUUCAUCGUCUCCACCCAAACACAUUCAUCUCUCUCUCUCUCCCCCCUACUCGUAUGACACAAACACACCAUCAUCAUCAAUGGUUUUCCUCUACCCUACUUCCUCUAUUCGUCUUUGCACACACCGGUGAGGCGGUCCCCUGUGUUCCACAUUUAGUAAAACUAGAUGACCCGUUGCGCCAAAUGGCGCAAAGGCCGGCAACAAGCCAAGUAUUGCAAGAGUGGUGAUAGGAAAACUCAGUCAUAGAUCGAAAUAAUGAGUACUUACUGCUGGUUACUGUCUCUGUUCAUGAUUACUGUUUCUCCUGGAACAGUCUAUGCUAAAUGAUAGUGCUAUAUCCCUUGGUUGGAAGGUGGACGCUGCCAGUUAGGGCAUGCCUCUUCCUUGCUUAGCAUAUUUGUUGUUGCCGGUGAGUACUCGAUGUUUGGAACACAGAAAGUAGUAAAAACAGAUAAUUAUAGAUAAGGGUGGCAUUAUGCAUAUUAAUAAUUUCAUGAGGAACAACAGCAAAGGUUAUAUAAGUAAAGUAUAGGUGGUAGCUGUUCAAAAGCAGCAGAGAUAGCAUGGCCGAAAAACAGAGGAAGGUUUCAUCCUAUUACAGAGCUUGAUUAGUAGUCCUUAGAAUGCUAGAUGAUAUUUAGAUACGACCUUAGUUGCUGUCGAUGGUUCAUCUAAAGGCAAUGCACGAUGAAAACCAGGCGUUGCUUUGUGGUGACCUUGAAACGAAAGGCACCUUGAAAAGAACCAUGAGAUGCGGCCAACAAACUUCCCUACUGCAAACAUCAGUUCAUGCUCAGACUCUACAUUACACAUGGACUUUCACUAUACUGUAUGUAGAACUAAUUCUUUGAAACAUGUCAUAGGACUUCAUAUCAACUCACAACCCAAUAAAAGCCUAAAUUCCAAACAACAUCUCCAUAAAAAGCAAUAGGAAAAUGUAUAAAACCCCACGUAAAAGAUUCUUAAAAACAGUAUGAAGACAGUGGUAUUACAUUCAAGGAAAGCAAGACAAAAUAUUGAUCUUGGAAGCACAUUACAUCAGCCUUGAUAUGAUCUGCUGCGCCUCGGUGGCGUCGUCGAUGUCUUUGGAGCAGUGCCGGCCUCGGCAUCCAAGAGCGGUACAUCGGCGGUGUCAUGGACGGCCUCCAUGCCAUCCAGGGGCGAUGUGGGCCGGCCAGCAUGCGUGGGGGCAAAGGUCACGACCAGGAUGCGGAUCCAUGGCGGCGGCGCCGCAGAACCCCCCUGCACACCUCUCCAUUGACGCCGUAUCCAUGGUGUCACCGCCGCGGAACUCCUCUGCACACCUCCCCCUUGACGUUGUACGCCACACCAUAGCGCCUCCACGUCAUCGAACACACCCGCCACGUAGCACCAUGUGCAUCCUCAUCCACGGGGAUGACAGCCCCGAUCCAGCGGAUCGACCCACCACAAACCUCUAGGUCGCGCCGUCGACGCAGAUCAACGUCGGCCGAUGACCCUCUCUCAUCCACCAUCGCACCUCCUUUUCCUUCCUGCAGAUCGAAUCGAGUGCCGCCGCCACCAUCAAAGAUGAAUCUGGGAGGAAGCGAGGAGAGGAGGAGAGGUGGGAGCAGGGAGGGGAUGCGCUGGAAGCCAUGGGCUGAGGGGAUGUAGCGGCCAAUAUGUCUACAUACAGCCAUGAACGUGGAGAACAACCAAUGGUUUACCGGCUGCCAGCAGCCAAAAACCUCGCUAAAGGAAAAGAAUCGUUCGGUCCAACAAGCUCAGCGCACACGGUUGCUCUGGAAUGGCGGGUAGUGUAGGCAGGUUUAUAUGUUCGAUUUCAAAUGGGUGGCAACAUACGAAUAUACGUAGAAAUAUUUUAGAGUGUAGAUUCACUCAUUUUGCUUUGUAUGUAGUCACUUGUUAAAAUGUCUAGAAAGACAAAUAUUUGAAAAUGGAGGAAGUAGUUUAUACAAGAAAAAUGUAUAUCUAGUUGGAGCACUAAAAAAAGUUGGUACUCCGUACAUGCAUAGGUAGUCUACGGUCGUCUGAUCACUCACAAAGUUUGAUGCUUGCUUGUUGACACAUUAGCCCGUGAAAGUGUGAAAACGUUCGCGACUUUACAAGUUACAACAAACCACACGGACAACCGUUUUCUAUGCAGCUCCCCUCACCCACUCGCCCAACCCCUACCCGUCUCUUAUCCAUUCCAGUGACUGAGAGUCAGAGGAGAUGUGGCAGCGACACCGAUCUGCUCGCGGCGGCCAUGGUGGGUCUUGCGGCGUGGGACAGCUGCUUCCGGCGUCCGACGGCAGCACGCAUCCCCCAAAGCCCGACCUGCUCAAGCUACGCGCAGCUCGUCCACCUUCCACUCAAAGCGACAACGGCGGCCGCGGAGGACCAGUGGCAGCCAUGGCUGGUCUCGAUUCGACGUGCCGCGGCAGGGCUAGGCGCGUGUAGGCUGCUCGGCAUCAGCGGCCGACAGCGCGCACCUGUGCAAGGAGGUCCUCGUCGAAGAAUAUCAGAGCCGCCUUGUUCUUGAACUCACAGAGGAGCAUGUGGUCGCCCUCUGGGUCCUUGUACUGGCGAGGUGACGAAUCGGUGACCACGCUCCGGGGCGAGCGAGGCCGGGGUGCACGACGAGCCAAGUCGCUAUCCUGGGCUCUGUAAUUGGAAAUUUCGGGCCGAGCGAGCACAUCCGGUUGGUUAGCUGGCGCCUUGGCGGGAGCUGCUGCUGCUCCUCGCUGGGAACAACCACCAUAUCCUCAGGCGGCGGUAGCGACUCGUUCGUGUGCGCGCUGGGCCGGAGCGUCACGGGCGCCAUCACGGCGACCACACCAAGCGCAAGGGCCUUGGGAACAGCCAGAUGCCCCUACACUACAAGCUUUCUCAGAAGAUGGCAUUAGGUAGUGUUCUUUCACGGCACUACUAUCUAUUUCAUGAGGAACCACUUGGCAGAUCUGUAGGAUCGCAAUGUUCAGCCUGGCUUCAAUCUUUGAUCUGGGUAGUACCAAUCGGAAGAAUGUGAGAUGAACGAAUGAAGCUGCUCAUUUCCACGAGCAAAGAGAGGAUAGACAUGAAAAAGACACAAAGUACCGGUACCUGUUAUGGGUUGGAGGACAGAGCAGCAAGGGAAAAGUGUAAGUGUUGUAGUAAAGUAGUAACAUAAAACCACAAUUCAUUUAGUAAGCCAUUAGAAUUUUUGAACUAUUUUCUAAAACUUUUAGUCAAAUAUGAAUAAAAGUCUUCGAAAUUUUCAAAAUUGAGCAAAAGUUUGAACAGGAGAGCACAGCUUCGGGCCUAACUCAAGGGCUUAAUCCAAAAACAUGGCGGCCUAUUCUCAUAGUCAAUGUCCGACUUAGUCUAUGUGUAAGAUUUCACUUUGGUAUCGAGGAGAUCCUCACGAGAUGAUCAAAAUAGAAGACACGCUGUGAAAGCACCAAGGUUGAACUACUAAUCACCACCAGCAAGUCACCAAGAAGAAGCUCAAGAGAGGCCGAACCACCACAAGACGCAACCAAGCCUACCGAUGACAAGCGACCACCCGCCACCUAGAGGAAAACCACCAAACUUCGCCGCACUCUCACCACCAAACUGUCGUCCAAGAGGAGCCCCUACCCUCUCACUCCGGGCUGAGGAGCAUCAACCUUGUCGGCAAGCCAAAAUGAUGGAGGAGACUCCGUCACGUGUUAAUGAUAGUGGAACACGAGACCACAAGCCGCCCGAACCGAGGUGUUGCCAAUUGGAGCUCCAAACCAAUCCAAACACACCACCGCGACCUAGAGACACCCACACUCCCCGACGGUGCCCCUAAGAGGGACACUAUGCAGAAGUGAUGUGUAGGAUCGAAAGUAUGUCUAGAGGGGGGGGGGGGGUGAUUAGACUACUUGGCCAAAUAAAAAUCUAUCAUUUUCCCAAUUUUAGGUGUGGGUAGAUUUUAGAAAUUCUACCAAGUCUAGUAUCACCCUACACAUGCAAAUCUAAGAGUCUAGCAGCGGAAAGUGAAACAUUGCACUUGUAAGUAAAGGAGGGGUUUGGAGAUUUCAAACGCAACGAAGACAUGAUGAUUUUUUGCGUGGUUCCGAUAGAUGGUGCUAUCGCACGUCCGCGUUGAUGGAGACUUUAGCCCACGGAGGGUAGCGGUUGCGUGAGUCACGGAGGGCUCCACCCACGAAGGGUCCACGAAGAAGCAACCUUAUCUAUUCCAGCAUGGUUUACGUCCGCGAAGGACUAGCCUCACUCAGGUAGAUAUUCACGAAGUAGGCGAUAUCCUUGCCCUUACAAACUCCUUGGUUCAACUCCACGUGAUCUUGGAGGCUCCCAAGUGACACCUAACCAAUCUCGGAGAUACCACUCUCCAAAAGGUAAUAGAUGUUGCGUUGGUGAUGAACUUUUUGCUCUUGUGCUCCAAAUGAUAGUCUCAUCAACACUUAAUCUCUCUCACACAGAUUUGGCUUGGGUAGGAGAAGGAUUGGAGUGGAAAGCAACUUGAAGAGGCUAGAAAUAAAGGUUCAAAUGGAAGGAAUUGAAUCUCUUGAUCUCAACACAUGAGUAGGUGGUUCUCUCUCAAAAAAUGAAUGGUGGAAGUUGUGUUUCGUUCUGAUGGCUCUUUGAUGACCCACAAA
Long non-coding RNA from Triticum aestivum (bread wheat), 4986 nucleotides. RefSeq lists it as uncharacterized. The record is from RefSeq and is a predicted model, not a curated record. The transcript is spliced from 3 exons. NCBI's taxonomy places the organism in Eukaryota, Viridiplantae, Streptophyta, Magnoliopsida, Poales, Poaceae.